This is a small nuclear RNA of Aplysia californica (California sea hare), 102 nucleotides long. The record is from RefSeq and is a predicted model, not a curated record. Lineage: Eukaryota; Metazoa; Mollusca; Gastropoda; Aplysiida; Aplysiidae.
UUCAUGCAGUACAAAAUAUACUAAAAUUGAAACGAUACAGAAAAGAUUAGCAUGGCCCCUGCGAAGGAUGAUACGCAAGUUCGUGAAGCGUUCCAUAUUUUU